GAAAUGUAUAAUUUUGUGAAAAUUGUGUGAUUUGGCGCCCUGUAGAUGCAGCAACAUGUGACAGAGACAUCAUUGACCGUAUUAUAAGACACUGUACCAUCAAAAAGUUUCAUAAUGUUGCUCCCGAUCAGCAGUCAGCAGUCAGACCUCCCGCCAUGAAAAGAGCUCCAGACUUUCCCGUCUCGACCGGUUCCAGCUGAAUUCCUUCAGUAUUCCGACUGAAUAAAACAUUCGGGCGCUGAGAGGUGGAGUGGCAGCCGUCAGAAAAUUCACCCACAGUCUACUGCUAAUGCUGCUGCUCUGCAUUAACAAUACCCGGGCCGCCACAGUUUAGAUACUAUCAGUUCACGUCAGACACACCUGAACUGAGAUAAAUGUUGAGCUCAGACCAUCUGUACGUCUGACAGAUCAGCGGGGGGAAAAUAAAGCAUGAAAGAGCGAGCCAGCAGAGAACAAUGGAUGAGUCUCCAAACACCG
Long non-coding RNA from Acanthopagrus latus (yellowfin seabream), 477 nucleotides. RefSeq lists it as uncharacterized. The transcript is spliced from 3 exons. The record is from RefSeq and is a predicted model, not a curated record. Lineage: Eukaryota; Metazoa; Chordata; Actinopteri; Spariformes; Sparidae.